UACGGGAGGCAGCAGUGGGGAAUAUUGCACAAUGGGCACAAGCCUGAUGCAGCCAUGCCGCGUGUAUGAAGAAGGGCCUUCGGGUUGUAAAGUACUUUCAGUCGUGAGGAAGGUGUUAAGGUUAAUAACCUUAGCAAUUGACGUUAGCGACAGAAGAAGCACCGGCUAACUCCGUGCCAGCAGCCGCGGUAAUACGGAGGGUGCGAGCGUUAAUCGGAAUUACUGGGCGUAAAGGGCACGCAGGCGGUUAAUUAAGUUGGAUGUGAAAUCCCCGGGCUUAACCUGGGAAUGGCAUUCAAGACUGGUUAGCUAGAGUCUUGUAGAGGGGGUAGAAUUCCAUGUGUAGCGGUGAAAUGCGUAGAGAUGUGGAGGAAUACCGGUGGCGAAGGCGGCCCCUGGGACAAGGACUGACGCUCGAUGUGCGAAAGCGUGGGGAGCAAACAGGAUUAGAUACC
Molecule: ribosomal RNA, 455 nt
Filed under: uncultured bacterium
Lineage: Bacteria
Description: bacterial SSU rRNA
Rfam family: Bacterial small subunit ribosomal RNA
Source: RNAcentral